Molecule: non-coding RNA, 1001 nt
Organism: Pelobates cultripes (western spadefoot toad)
Lineage: Eukaryota; Metazoa; Chordata; Amphibia; Anura; Pelobatidae
Source: the annotation of a GenBank genome assembly
AUAUAUUUAAACUCCUUUGUCAUUGGUCUGUGACUUUGUGCUGCAGUCCCCCACAAGGUCCAAGGGGGAGUGCCCCUUGAAUGGGGACAUGUAUAUAAGGCCAGUUGUGGCUGCCAUUCCAGCUUGCACUCCAAAACUGUGUGUCGUCCUGUUAUUGGAGAGAAGGAAGAUUUAACUCCUGUGUCUGCUGUUCCAGCUUGCAGAGGAUUCAACGGGGAAAGUCCUUGUAAGGACUAGAGCUCCCAGGACGGAGUGUCGUCCAGUGCCUGGGGGUGUCUAGAGCAAAUUCCCUAUUCGGCUCCAGGAAGGAGCGGUUCCAGGGCCCAGUCAAGCCAAGACGACUGUGGACAGAAGUGCUGCGGUUUGUCUUCUGUUCCAGCAAAGAAGCUAGAAAGUGGUCCUAUUUUGUGAAGUAGUCUUGGAACAAGAGAAAGACCCAGGGAUCUAAGUUUACCUGUAAUUGGAAAACUCUUGUCAAUAUGUCACCCACCCCUUUCCAGAAGUUUUGCUCUUUCAGGCACCCCUACCACAUGUGUAUGUAUGAGCCCUUGGAUCCGCAUCCACACCAGUACUGAUCAUUUGGCGAUUUUUCAGGUGAUAUAAUUUAGAGGGGGUGGUUUACCAUUGCAACAUGGUCCUAUAUGACUCUUCCUGCUCUGUCACGCAGAUAGAAGAUGUUUUGUUGACCUCCCAGAUGUCUUGGAAAUUUAAUGCCCUCCAAGACCUCAGAUCCCCAUUGUUGUGUAUACUGUAUAGUAUAGCUCUCCCCAUUUCUGCAUGUUAGUGCCUAGAUAGGCAUAAAUGGACAUGAUUAGGCUCUUUUGGAAUGACUCACUGAGGCAUAACUUUUCAUAGAAUGUCAUUCUUUUUGGCUGGCAAUGUCCUUGACUUGAAGAUACCUAAAAAAAGUCCGAGGGUUUCAAGUUGGCCCUCUCAGUUCCUCAAAGGUCAGGAUUCAGUCUGCUACAUCAGGGGUUCCCAACCCAGUCCUCAAGUACCCC